RNAcentral lists this ribosomal RNA (451 nucleotides) under uncultured bacterium. RNAcentral describes it as "bacterial SSU rRNA". It matches the Rfam family "Bacterial small subunit ribosomal RNA", at positions 30 to 484 of the family's 1533-position model. The record is from RNAcentral.
AUUGAACGCUGGCGGCAGGCUUAACACAUGCAAGUCGAGCGGAAACGGAGGUAGCUUGCUACCAGACGUCGAGCGGCGAACGGGUGAGUAACGCGUAGGAAUCUACCUAGUAGAGGGGGAUAGCCCGGGGAAACUCGGAUUAAUACCGCAUACGCCCUAAGGGGGAAAGCAGGGGAUCUUCGGACCUUGCGCUAUUAGAUGAGCCUGCGUCGGAUUAGCUAGUUGGUAGGGUAAAGGCCUACCAAGGCGACGAUCCGUAGCUGGUCUGAGAGGAUGAUCAGCCACACUGGAACUGAGACACGGUCCAGACUCCUACGGGAGGCAGCAGUGGGGAAUAUUGGACAAUGGGGGCAACCCUGAUCCAGCCAUGCCGCGUGUGUGAAGAAGGCCUUCGGUUGUAAGACGACUUUACUAGUAGGAGGAAGACCGUGAUAGCUAAUAAUCUAUUAGG